AGCACGCAUGACGGGUGUUCGAGGCUUCACUACACAGUCGGCCUCGUUCUGAGAAUCACCGUUAGAACUUGAUCUGGACAAUACCAGCGAAAGGACAUGCUUGCUUUACUCC
This 112-nucleotide non-coding RNA is filed under the name Penicillium decumbens. RNAcentral's name for it is "TPP sequence". It matches the Rfam family "TPP riboswitch aptamer (THI element)". Rfam says of the family: Vitamin B(1) in its active form thiamin pyrophosphate (TPP) is an essential coenzyme that is synthesised by coupling of pyrimidine and thiazole moieties in bacteria. The previously detected thiamin-regulatory element, thi box was extended, resulting in a new, highly conserved RNA secondary structure, the THI element, which is widely distributed in eubacteria and also occurs in some archaea. The record is from Rfam by way of RNAcentral. Lineage: Eukaryota; Fungi; Ascomycota; Eurotiomycetes; Eurotiales; Aspergillaceae.